UACGUAGGGGGCAAGCGUUGUCCGGAAUUAUUGGGCGUAAAGAGCGUGUAGGCGGUCCGGUAAGUCGGCUGUGAAAGUCCAGGGCUCAACCCUGGGAUGCCGGUGGAUACUGUCGAGCUCGAGUCCGGAAGAGGCGAGUGGAAUUCCUGGUGUAGCGGUGAAAUGCGCAGAUAUCAGGAGGAACACCAAUGGCGAAGGCAGCUCGCUGGGACGGUACUGACGCUGAGACGCGAAAGCGUGGGGAGCAAACAGG
This 253-nucleotide ribosomal RNA is filed under the name uncultured bacterium. RNAcentral describes it as "partial 16S ribosomal RNA". It matches the Rfam family "Bacterial small subunit ribosomal RNA", at positions 524 to 776 of the family's 1533-position model. The record is from RNAcentral.